UACGUAGGUGGCAAGCGUUGUCCGGAAUGACUGGGCGUAAAGGGUGCGUAGGCGGCUAUUCAAGUUAGUAGUGAAAUCCCGAGGCUCAACUUCGGUGCUACUACUAAGACUGUUUAGCUUGAGUGCAGGAGGGGCAAGUGGAAUUCCUAGUGUAGCGGUGGAAUGCGUAGAUAUUAGGAGGAACACCAGUGGCGAAGGCGACUUGCUGGACUGUAACUGACGCUGAGGUACGAAAGCGUGGGGAGCAAACA
RNAcentral lists this ribosomal RNA (251 nucleotides) under uncultured bacterium. RNAcentral's name for it is "partial 16S ribosomal RNA". It matches the Rfam family "Bacterial small subunit ribosomal RNA", at positions 524 to 774 of the family's 1533-position model. The record is from RNAcentral.